GUUUUGUAAAAUUAAAAGUCAAGGUCAAGGUCAAGUUUAUUUAUAUAGCACCUUAAAAGCAACGUGUGCUGACCAAAGUGAGGCACA
Molecule: long non-coding RNA, 87 nt
Organism: Sinocyclocheilus anshuiensis
Lineage: Eukaryota; Metazoa; Chordata; Actinopteri; Cypriniformes; Cyprinidae
Exons: 3
Source: RefSeq, a predicted model, not a curated record